This 253-nucleotide ribosomal RNA is filed under the name uncultured bacterium. Its description in RNAcentral is "partial 16S ribosomal RNA". It matches the Rfam family "Bacterial small subunit ribosomal RNA", at positions 524 to 776 of the family's 1533-position model. The record is from RNAcentral.
UACGGAGGGUGCGAGCGUUGUCCGGAAUCACUGGGCGUAAAGGGCGCGUAGGCGGCGCGAGUAGUCAACGGUGAAAGCCCGGGGCUCAACCCCGGGUCGGCCGUCGAUACUCUCGUGCUUGAGCACUGUAGAGGCAGGUGGAAUUCCGGGUGUAGCGGUGGAAUGCGUAGAGAUCCGGAAGAACACCGGUGGCGAAGGCGGCCUGCUGGGCAGUAACUGACGCUGAGGAGCGAAAGCGUGGGGAGCGAACAGG